Selaginella moellendorffii is the source of this 3842-nucleotide RNA transcript. It is a transcript of the gene named protein NRDE2 homolog, with no coding region annotated. Lineage: Eukaryota; Viridiplantae; Streptophyta; Lycopodiopsida; Selaginellales; Selaginellaceae. The transcript is spliced from 15 exons. The record is from RefSeq and is a predicted model, not a curated record.
UUAGGGCUAGCGAUGGAGGAAGAGCGCCAAGAGCAGCCAUCCGCGGCUUCAUCCUCGUUCGCUCCAGCUAAAAUCAAGACGCUCUUCCCCGCGUCGGCAGCCGGAUCGCUCUUCCCGAUCUUACAGGCAAAGCAUUUCGAUGCUGAGGCUCCAACAUGGCUGAGCAAUGCCAGCUUCUCCGAAUCGCUUCUUCCACCUCGUCCUGUAAGUGUAGCGGUAGCACAGCCGAGUUUUAGAGAAGGCGAUGGAUCCGACUCAAAUGGCGAUGACGCGGAGCCACUGGGAGAGAAGAAAGAUGGGGGCAAGGAGAAGAAACGAAAGAAAGAGAAGGAUAAGGAGGACAAACAGAGGAAGAAGCACAAGAAGAAAGAGCAAUCUGAGGACACUGUGAUCGGUGCUCUCAAAGGAACUCGCUCCGAGAGGAAAGCCAGUGGUGGUAUAUGGGCUGGGGAUGCUGGGAAGGACUGGUACUUUGAUUUUCGGGGAGACAAAGACAAUCUAGCAUUCGAAUCCUUGUACAGACACGACAUUGCUCGAUACCAUUUGCACCAGAGCAAGGAAGUUUUGGAAGAAAGGCUAUGGAGGAGACGAUUGGACUUGGUUAGUCCGGAGGGUGAUAGCUGCUCGCAGGAGGAGUCAGUGAGAACAAAUGGCCGGUAUUGGUCGUCAAAGGUGGCUUCGUUGGAGAGGCGUCGGGACUUUAAACGUUUGUGCUUUGGAGCUUUGCGCUCAAAGAAAACGAGGCAUGAAGCAGGAGCCUUGUAUGACAACUUCAUCGCUCUAAACUUGAACGAAGGCGAGGUUGAGAACCAGGUAGAGAUUCCUCAAGAGAAGAGCUGGGACGAUUACGUUCUAGACAAGCUGAGAUCUUUCAACCAGCUUACGCACGAAAAGCCCGGGGAUGAGAGUGUGUGGAUCAGUUUCGCAAAAUUUCAGGACGAACUCAUCGAAGCAGAAAAGCGAAAGACAAUGGUCCAGCAUGCGAUUGACAAGAAAAUUUUACUUUUAGAGAAAGCCCUCGAGCAUCAUCCGAACAGUGAAGAGCUGAUUCUCUUGUACCUGGAGACGUGCAGAAGGAAAGAUGAUCUCGAUACGCUGAUAUCGAAAUGGGAGCGGAUGAUCGUGAGACAUAGCGGCAGCUAUCGUCUAUGGUGGGAAUUUUUGAGACUCCGACGAUCCACAUUUUCUAAGUUCUCGGUAUCGGCUCUUAGAAAACUGUACAGUCAAGCUCUUCAGGCUCUCGCUGCUGCUCGUAAUCGGCAACAAAAGGAGCGUUUAAUCGGAGAUGAUACUUCAAAGCUUGCAGAAGCAGAAGUUGGAAUCAUCGCAAUUUUUCUGGAUCUUUGCCGUUUCGAGUGGCAAACCGGUCACCAUGAGCUAGCGGUUGGCCUUUUCCAAGCACAGUUCGAGUAUAGCUUUCUCUGUCCGCUUAUCCAGCUUUCUCAGAACAACAAACUGAGAUUGUUUGAGUCGUUUUGGAAUAGUGGUGCACCAAGGAUUGGAGAAGCCGGUGCAGUAGGAUGGAACACUUGGAUGGAGCAGAAAGAAGAGCAGAUUCAAAACGCUAAAGCAAUGACUGCACACAAAAUGGAGGAAGAAAGCAGCUGGGCUGGAUGGAAAGAAACCAAUGAAGUGACAAAGACUGGAAUGGAGAAACCAGCGGCCGAGUCGAGCAUGAAACAGGAAGUUGACGACGCGGAAGAAAAUGACGAGAUUGAGGAAGAAGACGAUGCAGCGUUGCUUGAAAAGCUUGGACUCAAUCUCGACUUGACGAAAGAUGUGGAAGUCAAAGACUCUCGUAUUUGGAAACGCUGGUCCGAGGAAGAAAGCCAGCGUGCCUGUUCACAGUGGCUUCCUGUCAAGCAGCGGUCGAGAGCAGCAGGAGAUGAUCAGGAUGAGGACGAGGACGAGGGACUGGAAAAUAUGGUCCUAUUUGACGACAUCAGAGAAAAUCUCUUUACACUGACGACCGUGCAAGGAAAAUUCUAUCUCAUGGGCCAAUUUCUCGAGUUCUGCAACGUGCCUUUGUUUCAAUGGUGUUGCUCCAAUGCACUCGGGUAUAAAGAACGAAUUGACUCGUUGGAGGUUUUAACCUCAGACAUCCUAAACGCAAGCACUGACAUUCAGGGCCUGGGAAAUCUUGUGUUUCCAAAAGACUGGAUCAAAGAGUCGAAGGGCCGGGCGCGCUUUGUCCGCAAUACGGUUUUCCUGCUGAAGGACAUCUUAUCACACAAUCUACACUUUCAGGAGGUGCUCCUUUCUUUAGAAGCUUUGGAAGCCAGUGAAAAUGACGGCAAUGACGGCUCUAGUGCUUCUCGAGCUCUUGCAAAGAAGUUACUGAAAGCCAGUCGACAGGAUCUUACGCUAUGGGCAGCAUACGCUUGCUUUGAAGCGUCUACUGGAAAUGUUGACGUUGCAAGGAAAAUAUUUGACACCGCGCUGACAUCUUUGAGUGCUCUUCCAAAGGAAGCACAAUCGGAUGCUUCUUCUAUCUACCUUGCGUACGCCGAAGUGGAGAUGGCACAGUGUGGCACUAACACCCAAGAUUAUCAAAGGGUGCUGUAUAUUCUACACUUUCUAGGACUCGGUGAUCCGUAUCAACCGAACUUUUCCACUCUGAGCGGGACACAAGUUUUAAAAGCACGACGUGGCUAUAACGAUCAACUGCAAAAGAUUUACACGCUUGGAAGAUUGCGCGAGGCGGAGGCAUCGCUGGUGAUUUGUGCCGCUUUAUUUCAGCAACUUACCGCAGGAUGGCAGCCUGCCACCUCGAUUUUUCAACAAAUUUUGUCAAUGCCCGUGCAAGAUGGUCUGCAAGAAAACGUUCAUCACGAACGUCUGUUGCAUUGCUAUACUACCAUGCUUGAAAGCCAGAAAAACUGGGUAAAGCCGACACUUAUUCGACAAGUUGUGAAAGAGGGAGCUAUGCAGUAUCCAUUCAACUUGAAACUCCUCACUUCAUUCAAGCAAAACACUCUCGCAAAUGAUACGCGUCGCUUUAUCGACAAAUUAUCGCAGAGGAAACAAUCGAGCUUACAGUGGAUUUUCGCAUUGUCCUGCGAGGUCCCCAGUGCUGGAGCAACCUCUCGCGUCCGUAAUGUGUUUGAGCGUGCGCUAGAUGCCUGUGGAAGCCAGCAUUCCGUUCUUUUAUGGCGCUUGUACGUUGCGUAUGAGCUCGCGCAGAACAAUAAUGAAGGUGCCCGACGUGUUUUCUUUCGCGCAAUCCAUGCAUGUCCAUGGUCCAAAGCAUUGUGGAUAGAUGGUUUCCAGAAGAUGAGCACUGUUCUUAGCGUCAAGGAAUUGUCCGACCUUGUAGAUAUCAUGCGCGACAAGGAGCUGCGCAUUCGCACCGAUGUGUAUGAGAUACUGUUGGAGGAAGCUGGAUAAGCACCCCUGGAGCAAAUUUGAAGACGAUCACCAACCUCUGUUCUGGGCUCUGCAGCUAUUCGUUUUUUUUCCUAGUGCUUACUGCCCUGGUGUUUACUCCCAAGUGGUUGCAAGCUUCUGGGCACGCUGGGGUGGCCUUUUGGACAGCUGAGAAUUAAUGACAAGGAGCUGGAGAAGGAACUGUGCGUUUAUGUAGUGUGAGGAGCAUGUGAGACGGUUAAAGGGAAGGCUUCUUUAUUGGAGGUAUUCAUCACCACCAAGGAUUAGAUAAAUGUCAGCGUCGUGUGGGAGCGACUUCGUGAAAUCUCGAGCUGGAUGGGAAUUUUGGAACUGGAUGUACCACCGGCAGCGAUUUGAAGGUAAGGUUGCAUGUUUGAGUCGCGUUAGUUGUUCGGGAAGCCACAUUUCGUGAUCAUUAGCUAAGAAAAAGAAUACCGAUUUCUUUUCACGAUGAA